GAUGAACGCUGGCGGCGUGCCUAAUACAUGCAAGUCGAGCGAACGGACGAGAAGCUUGCUUCUCUGAUGUUAGCGGCGGACGGGUGAGUAACACGUGGAUAACCUACCUAUAAGACUGGGAUAACUUCGGGAAACCGGAGCUAAUACCGGAUAAUAUUUUGAACCGCAUGGUUCAAAAGUGAAAGACGGUCUUGCUGUCACUUAUGGAUGGAUCCGCGCUGCAUUAGCUAGUUGGUAAGGUAACGGCUUACCAAGGCAACGAUGCAUAGCCUACCUGAGAGGGUGAUCGCCCACACUGGAACUGAGACACGGUCCAGACUCCUACGGGAGGCAGCAGUAGGGAAUCUUCCGCAAUGGGCGAAAGCCUGACGGAGCAACGCCGCGUGAGUGAUGAAGGUCUUCGGAUCGUAAAACUCUGUUAUGAGGGAAGAACAUAUGUGUAAGUAACUGUGCACAUCUUGACGGUACCUAAUCAGAAAGCCACGGCUAACUACGUG
Molecule: ribosomal RNA, 497 nt
Filed under: uncultured bacterium
Lineage: Bacteria
Description: partial 16S ribosomal RNA
Rfam family: Bacterial small subunit ribosomal RNA
Source: RNAcentral